Molecule: long non-coding RNA, 2054 nt
Organism: Onychostoma macrolepis
Lineage: Eukaryota; Metazoa; Chordata; Actinopteri; Cypriniformes; Cyprinidae
Exons: 4
Source: RefSeq, a predicted model, not a curated record
UAUGAACUAUUUUAAUUAUAUAAAUGUAAAAAACCUACAAAGGCAUUUUUGCGGUCUACAAUAUAGAAUGCCUUGAAUUUGGAGUUUUAAUAGACUAAAUCAAGUGCGUGCACACUGAUAUACUCGAGAAUGUCAGAUCACACAUCAUUACAACAACACUUACCAUAUAAAUCGCACACCCCAGCCUCGACUUGUGUGGAACAUGAAAUCGACCGUGGUGUGUGAGCACUUGUUUGCACGUGAGCAAAAGUGUUUUUAGGAGUCUAACUCACAAGCGCCAGACCACUGAUUCGUCAAAUCUGCUUGCUUGCAGUCUGUGUUCUUCCGACUUUAUUUUGUAGUAAGUAACGAAUAUGCUUCGGGGAAAUGCAUCGGAGUAAAAUAAUACAUUUCAAUUAGGAAAUGUGAAAGUUGACAGAAAUAUAAAAACCCAAGUAAAGUAUAGAUACUCCUGUAGGGUAUCAGAGCGAAUCAGACAAUUUAAGAAGCCCAUGACAACAGGAUGUUCGUAAAUCAGAUCCUAGCGCCAGUCAGUCUGAAGCAAGCCUAACCAACCAACUCUUUCACAGAACAGCUUCCAACAUUAACACAAAAUAACACUUAUUGAUAAUCCCAACUCAGGAAGGAAAUUGUCAAAUUUGGGGCAAGUAACCAAGAUGAAUGGUCAAAGAGAAGCACAGCAUGACCAUCACAUGUAAAUCCAUUAUAUAAAUCAUGAUCAAUAUCUUUUAAAAUUCAUUACUUAAUCUUAUCUUGCUUAUCUUGCAUUUUCUUUAAUAUUCUUCUUCUUCUCUGCACCAGUUUUAUAGUUCCACCUCUUCAUUUCCAAACAUUAAUGUGCACAACUGAGAAGGAAACCUUUUAUAAUUCUAAUUAUUUUAUAUAGUUGUAACUAGCAAGCAUUAGAGUCUGAACCCUUGACAUGGGGCUCCCUGAUUCCACGGUGGCCCUCGGUGCAACUGCUUAUAUUGUUUAUUAGGUACAGUGACACUGACUUCAGCCAUUAAGGGGCAAAUUGCUUUUUGUGUUUCUAAGCACAAAUACAUUCUUAAUGAUUUUUAUGAUUAACGUUCUGCAUAUUUCCCACAUCCCAAUUCAUUUACAGCAGAAUAAGAGCAAUAUUGGACAUUUAUAGGUUAUUGAGUGAAAAACACUCAAGUCAGAAGGAGUCAGAAGGACACAGGGUAACUGUGUUUCAUAUGUUUUGGGAGAAGUAUUAGCUUUAAAAUUAUCAUUUGAACAGUAUUUUACUGCAUUAUGUACAGUAAUAUACUGUAAAAUGUGUAUACAUUAUUUUACUGUAAACUGCAAAGGAUUAUGGGAAAAUGUAUGGUCACUGCAGUAAACUACUGUAAAUUUACAGUAGUGAACUUGCCCGCGAAAAACUGACCAAUGGCAAGGGAGAUUUAUUUUGUUUGCUGUUUGGUGGAAGCAGUGGUAAAAGGACAAAAGAGACAUUGUUAACUGGACAAAAAGGUUAGUAGGCCUAUAUUAUUUCUGUUUUAUGCAAAACUGAGAUAUUUUAAGAUGUUUUAACUUAUUAACAGCAAAGGAACAUUAUUCAUCGUGUCAUUUUUCAUGUCGGGAGUUGGGGCCUUUUUUUCUGACUGACGGCCGGAUUAACGCCGCCAUAACGGUGAUAACAUCGACUGUUUGUGAUCUUGUGGUCAUGUCGUCUGCAUCGGAGGAGUAUUAGAGUCUUUUCUUGGGAUUGUCGUCGUAACAACAGGAGAUUUCUCCAAGCAAAAACAGGAUCCUGACUAUGAGGGCAGAAUUAGGUUCAUUCAGAUCUUUGUGGCACCAAAUGCAUUGAAAGUCACAGGUCAGCUGGAAUUCUGGAAAGAGGGUGCAAAGAAAAAGGAUCUGUCUGAAUCCCAUCCUGCUGUUUCUCAUCGGAGAGCUUGUCAACUUUGACUGUCAAAAUUACUGAAAUUUAACACAACAACACAAACUAAUUUUUACUGUAUUAUUUGAUUUUUAUUAACACUACCAGUCAAAAGUUUUUGAACAGUAAGAUUUUUAAUGUUUUUAAAGAAGCCUCUUCUGCUCACCAA